This 62-nucleotide microRNA precursor is filed under the name Columba livia (rock pigeon). RNAcentral describes it as "Cli-Mir-425_pre stem-loop". The record is from RNAcentral. Lineage: Eukaryota; Metazoa; Chordata; Aves; Columbiformes; Columbidae.
AAUGACACGAUCACUCCCGCUGAGCGGGCAGCCUGAGGCCAUCGGGGAUGUCGUGUCUGUCC